UGGUGCAAUGCCUGCUUCUUUCAGUAACAGAUUAAAGACUAACAAUAUAUUGCUCGAUGAGCAUCGGAUAGCAAAGCUGAGUGAUUAUGGAAUGUCCAUCAUUACAGAAGGCUUUGAGUCACUUGAGGGAAAGGGAGACGGUCAAAAAUCUUGGUAAGGGUCUUUCUUUAACUCCAUUUUUGGGAGAAUGAUCUCAGUAGCAUCAACAAUGUUUACGCUACUUUCACUGCUCAUAUACAAGUAAAAAGGAUAAAGGAUUUGGUUUGCUGGGGUUGGUACCUGCUCCUGUGAGUAAUUCACCUAGAAGCAACAAAGAAUAUUGCAACCAAAGGUUUUGAAUGGUAUUGAAUCUUAUGUUCUUUGACUAGUUGAAUGCAACUGAUUGAUGUUUCUUUGGCCUGUAUUCAUGAUGUUGUGGCUUCUAGUGAUGCCGUUUUUCCUCUAUCUUAUGGAAAGGUCUGUCUUUUAAUGGCACUGCCCCAACCCUUUACUUUCUAUUUUUUUUUCUGGAUUGGCAAAGUCCAAUCUCCAGUUCGCUAUCAAUGGUAUCCAUUUGACAAUGUAAGUCACCAUGGCAUUCUAGGAGCUAAAAUGGAAUAUGUUUGCAAUGGUAUUACAAAGCUCUGAAUAUGCGAUUGAACAACUAUUGCUUCCCAUUUCUUUUUUCCAAAACAAGGCUUCCUUUGUUGUUGUUUUCCAACAGUAAUUGGCAAGGCCUAGGAUUGACGGUGUGGUGUUCCUUUGUUGCAGGCAUAUGACAACGUUAGAGGACGAUGUUUACAAAUUUGGGUUCAUACUACUUGAAUCCUUAGUGGAGCCGAUUGUUAGCGGAAAAGGAGAAGCGUUCUUGUUAAAUGAAAUGGUCUAAAAGUUGAAAGGUUGUCAAUUCAGGGUUGAUCAUUCUCUAGCACUUAUUGUUUUUUAGUAGAAAGCUUUCUUUUAGCUACAAAGAGAUGUACAUUAGUUUUUUCUUUGUCUUUUUUUAUCACUACAUUUUUACAUUUCUUUUCUAAAUACUUGGAAUUUUCGAUGUAAUUUAUGGUGAAGAUGCACUAACAUUCUCAUUUUUAUGAUACUGGCUUAUUAAUUUGUUGAUACCAAGGAAUGAGUAGUCAUUGGGACAUUUUUGGUUA
Long non-coding RNA from Rhododendron vialii, 1133 nucleotides. RefSeq lists it as uncharacterized. The record is from RefSeq and is a predicted model, not a curated record. The transcript has 3 exons. NCBI's taxonomy places the organism in Eukaryota, Viridiplantae, Streptophyta, Magnoliopsida, Ericales, Ericaceae.